RNAcentral lists this ribosomal RNA (915 nucleotides) under uncultured archaeon. RNAcentral's name for it is "bacterial SSU rRNA". It matches the Rfam family "Archaeal small subunit ribosomal RNA", at positions 1 to 922 of the family's 1478-position model. The record is from RNAcentral.
UUCCGGUUGAUCCUGCCGGAGGUCACUGCUAUUGGGAUUCGACUAAGCCAUGCGAGUCGAGAGGGUUCGGCCCUCGGCAGACGGCUCAGUAACACGUGGAUAAUCUGCCCUUAGGUGGAGGAUAACCUCGGGAAACUGAGAAUAAUACUCCAUAGAUCUAGGAUGCUGGAAUGCACUUAGAUUGAAAGUUCCGGCGCCUAAGGAUGAGUCUGCGGACUAUCAGGUAGUAGUCAGGGUAAAGGCCUGACUAGCCUACGACGGAUACGGGUUGUGAGAGCAAUAACCCGGAGACGAUAUCUGAGACACGAUAUCGGGCCCUACGGGGCGCAGCAGGCGCGAAACCUUCACAAUGUGCGAAAGCGCGAUGAGGGGAUCCCAAGUGCUUGCUCGUAAGAGUAAGCUGUUUUUAUGUCUAAAACGCAUAGAGAGUAAGGGCUGGGUAAGACGGGUGCCAGCCGCCGCGGUAAUACCUGCAGCUCAAGUGGUGACCGCUAUUAUUGGGCCUAAAACAUUCGUAGCCGGUUUGGUAAAUGCCUGGGUAAAUCGUGUAGCUUAACUAUACGAAUUCCGGGUAGACUGCCAAACUUGAGACCGGGAGAAGCUAGAGGUACUCCUUGGGUAGAGGUGAAAUUCUGUAAUCCUAGGGGGACCACCAGUGGCGAAGGCGUCUAGCUAGAACGGGUUUGACGGUGAGGAAUGAAGCCCUGGGGCGCAAACCGGAUUAGAUACCCGGGUAGUCCAGGGUGUAAACGCUGCUUGCUUGAUGUUAGUUGGGCUCCGAGCCCAAUUAGUGUCGGAGAGAAGUUGUUAAGCAAGCGGCCUGGGAAGUACGAUCGCAAGAUUGAAACUUAAAGGAAUUGGCGGGGGAGCACAGCAACGGGUGGAGCGUGCGGUUUAAUUGGAAUCAACGCCGGA